ACACAUGGCAGGCGCCAGCUUGCCGCUCUGGUAGUUUUGGGAAAUCUUCAUUCACAGAGGCACCUCUGCGCGGGUCACCAGUUCGGCACGAGAUCUAUUCAAACCACUUAAGAACACAAGCAGAAGAAGAAGAAGACAUUCUAUUCUCAUAGUUAAGAAGCUACAAUAGAAAAGAGCUACGAGUCUGCACAUUUGCAUCGUAGUACCUGAGCUGCGCGAGUCGUCAAUUCAACACACGAUCUACACGUAAAAAGGUGGUGGUGCCAAGAAAAAUAUCUUUCAUCUCCUCAAAUAUUUCUCCAUUGAAGCAUCAGUACUGCACGGGACACCAGAUAAGAACGCGAUAUAUGCAAAUCAAGAAAAAGUCUCCCAACCUUCGCUUUGCCAGUUCUUGUCUGCCGUAAAUACGUUUUGAUUCAUCUCUCCUAGUUAAGGAGAUAUCAAAGAUUCUUGGAUAUUCGAAUCUUUUCAACUAUUUAAGCAAUGAAGGUCAUAUGUCUUCGUGGACUGCGAACCAAAGCUAACGAUUAAAACCAUACCAUAGAGAAGAAGAAGAAGAAGAAGAAGACAUUCUAUUCUCAUAGCUAAGAAGCUACAAUAGAAAAGAGCUACGAGUCUGCACAUUUGCGCAACGUAGUACCUGAGCUGCGCGAGUCGUCAAUUCAACACACGAUCUACUCGUAAAAAGGUGGUGGUGCCAAGAAAAAUGCCUUUCAUCUCCUCAAAUAUUUCUCCAUUGAAGCAUCAGUACUGCACGGCACACCAGAUAAGAACGCGAUAUAUGCAAAUCAAGAAAAAGUCUCCCAGCCUUCGCUUUGCCAGUUCUUGUCUACCGUAAAUAUGUUUUCAUUCAUCUCUAAAGAAGAAGAUAAGAAGAUAUCAAAGAUUCUUGAAUAUUCGAAUCUUUUCAACUAUUUAAGCAAUGACG
Molecule: long non-coding RNA, 928 nt
Organism: Papilio xuthus (Asian swallowtail)
Lineage: Eukaryota; Metazoa; Arthropoda; Insecta; Lepidoptera; Papilionidae
Exons: 4
Source: RefSeq, a predicted model, not a curated record